This is a long non-coding RNA of Prinia subflava (tawny-flanked prinia), 975 nucleotides long. RefSeq lists it as uncharacterized. The transcript has 3 exons. The record is from RefSeq and is a predicted model, not a curated record. NCBI's taxonomy places the organism in Eukaryota, Metazoa, Chordata, Aves, Passeriformes, Cisticolidae.
AGCAGCCCACCUGCAGCCUACCCAGUUUAAGCACAGGACCUUGGUCUAAGCUUCAGGUACUUGAAAAACUCCAAACCCAAGAGCCAACCUCAUCAUAUUCAGCUGGGAAAGGUUGCACAAAUCAACUGUUGUGAAGUGCCAACUACAACUAAUCAGGAGAUGGGGGUGAGGAGAUGAAGGAUUGAAGCACAAGUACCCCCAUCAGUAGGUUUACCGUGUUUCUCAUUAAAUCCAUCAUGUGGGACAGUUCUGUAUUUGGAGAUACACCUUUUGUUGUGAAUGAGAUUUUUUUUUUUCUUUUGAAUGUCUAAGAAGCAACCCCUACAUUCUGGAGCUAUUGUGAGAAAUGCUGUGUGGCACCUUAUAAACAAAACAAAGAAAGAUGGUUGGUUAUGGGGGUUUCUUUUGGUGGGGGGUGGGUGGGGGGAAUUUUUGUCUCUAUUGCAGAGCUGCUUAUUUUGUGAUUCAUCUCCGAUAUAGAUACCAGAGGGGUUUAGAUGCAGUGAGAGGAUGGAGGAAUAAAACAACUGUUGUAGACGUGUCUAACGAGGAAUUGAUCCCAAAUCACAAUCACUGGAAGGAUCAACUGUGUUUACAUAAGGAACCACUGUGCAGAAUGUGCUAAAUAUAGAGGCAAACCCACACAUGUCUGCUGAGGGGCACUGCUUGAAUCCUCUACUGCUGCAAAAUCAUCAGAUGCAUUCAAACCUCUCUUUUGGUUCUAAACGGAUCCUGAAUUUUAUGAGCAUGUUCCUUUCUGAUAAGUACUUGGGAAAUAAUCUGUGUGACCAUGUUCAGCCUCCAAGCCCCACAGCCCUUGGUUUUGGAUGAAGUAGUAAGUUUUUAACAUCUGCCUUUUAAUGUCUGACUGUAUGAGAAAAGCUGCUUAGUCACAGGCGCAGAAAAAUAACACUGAAUUGCCAAUAGCAUAAAUAAAUCAGUACUUGCUCCCAUCUAUAAAUCUAUUCGUGUUUA